This 2757-nucleotide small RNA is filed under the name Pongo abelii (Sumatran orangutan). RNAcentral's name for it is "retained intron". The record is from RNAcentral. Lineage: Eukaryota; Metazoa; Chordata; Mammalia; Primates; Hominidae.
AGUUUCAGCCGCGACAGCAAGAACUGCAGAGCCGGCGACCGCGGCGGCGGCGGCAGAGGCAGGGGCAGCCUGGGCGGGUCGCAGGGUCUCCGCGGGCGCAGGAAGGCGAGCAGAGCACAAAUGAGGAUGUCCCAUUUUCUGCCUUUUGGGUUUUAUCAGCUGCUGUAGGUUUUCCACACUGUGUAGCUGCAGUAGACUGGCUGCCCUCUGUCCAACAUGCAAUGCCACUUGGUAUCAUUCAUGGUUUGAUCCCGAGAACAAUCCACCUAUUAUAUAAUUUUCCCCUCUCAUGUCAUUCCACUGACCUCAAUCAAUUGAUUUGGUGACAAAAUGAAACACGUUCAUGGAGAAGCUGCAAAAAGUGUGCAAAGUACACCUACAAGGAGAGUUUCCCCAUCUUUUCCAUAAUGUGGCCAUCCAGAAUGAGGAAGGAACAAGAAUACUUGAACAUCACAGAGACCAAACCAUUUCCAUAUGUCAAAACCAGAGAGCCUGGGAUCAAAGUUAUACUUGGAAAAGGGCUGUAAGAAAUGAAAAACCACCUAGUAGCAUCUGUACUUCCCUUAAAAUUCAACCUCCACUGGCUUCCUCUGAAUCCAUCAAGGUCUUAAAUAUUUAAAGAAAUGCUAAAUUCAGAAGGUAUUUAAGAAAUGGGCAGGCCCUGCUAGGUCCUGAUGAGUCCAGUGCCUCCAGGAGCUGCCCAAUGGGCCAGCAGUCUCUGUGGAAUCCAGGUGACCCUUCCCACUAGGGAUUGGACCAACACUUCAUGCAGCUUUCUUCCGAGGACCCCAACGAAGGGGUGUUUUGAACCCAAGUCAAAAGGAUGCCCUACAAGGCUAGUUUGAACAGAACCCUGACCCUGAUAUGACUCCCAGAGAACAACUGACCAGAGAAAUUGGCACUCCAGAAUUUAGAAUACAGAUGUGGUUUCAAAACCAGAGAAUACAACACCUCAGACAGAGUCUAUUGGGGUCUGGAUUGGGGUCAAUUUCCUGGAACUGCUAUCAGGGAAGAAAUGGCUGCACAAACAGGCCUCUCAGAGUUCAGAACUCAGAUAUGGUUCCAUAACCAAAGCGCUCGGCACUGUGGCCAGAGCUGUAGACUUGUGAAUUCCCUGGCAGAAGGCCCCAAGUCGGAGACCUCACAUGACUGUAUGACAAGGCAAGGCAACUUGUGCAUGGCCCCUAGCACCAGGGUCACUUCCAUCCCUCCAGUUCUUUCAGCAACAACCAGCUCUUCUUCCACCUCACACAUGCUUUGGUUCUUGGGUUCCCCCUGGCGUCGGAGUGAGCCAGGCACCAAGGGUCACGAUGCCCCAGCCACCAGGCUGUGCUGGGAGGAGAGGUCUCUCCACCUCUUCUGACACUUAGGAGUCACAUGUCAACAGGCCCAGCUCUAGGAGGGGUGCUCUUACAUCCUCUGACUCCUUUCCAGCCUCCACACCAAGGAAGAUGCCAGGAUGACAAGGACAGUGACACAUGGCCUGGCAAUACUGCCCUGUAAGAACCCUACACAGCCCCAGCCUGGCAAUCCUAAGCACCAGUUGCAGGGAACUGGUCAGCAAGACACACCUCGCCUUAUGCAGUGGUGGCACAAGGGGCCCCAGGGAGUGAUGGUCAAAUGGCCAGCUGGAGCAGGGGCACCUCAGCAGCCCACAGAGCCUGCACACACCUGAACAUCUCUGUGGCAGCAGCGGGCACCACCAGCUGCAGAGCCAACUCAGCCACUCGAGCAACUGCACAGCUCUCUGCAGAACCCAUCCUUUUAGGUCAAUGCCUGUCAAUCGUAGAGUUUCAGAGAAAGACACAAGCCUGCCUGAAUCCAAGUCCACAGGAAAAGGUUCCUCCACCACUUGAACCACCUCUCAGUGAGGAAGAAUUUGAUGCUCUGCCUGAUGUGAUGCAGACCUCACCAGGGUGUCAGCUUUGGGAGGAGCAAGGCCUCCUUCUCACCUCUACCAUCCAGGCCUCUUUCCUGGACACAGAAUCAAUGUGAUACCAAGAAGGACAAACAAUGCACACACUGUGUUUGGCAGCAAGAUCAGCGCUAGAAAAAGCACCAAACACUUAGAAACCCAAAGGGAGCAUUUUGACUCAGUCUUGUGGGAGAUGCUUGACUUCUGCUCUCACUUAAUGGCCUAUAUGAUUGUUGCAAAGCUCUCUACUGCCCCUGGAAGGCAUCAUGGGCACCAGGCCAUCAAUGCCCUCACUGCGUCCUGAAGAACCAAAGCAUUUUUGUAGCAAACAUCACCCACUCCCUACAAUCCUCACCGCUUGGGCAGUCUGGACUAUACAGGAACUGGAACCAAACCAAACCAGGGCGAGGACACUAGGUCUAAGGGGGACAUCUCCACAUUUCUUUCCUUCUGGCAAAUUCAGAAGUCACACCUGAAAGCAGGUAGAUGUCUAGAAUAUGGGGGGAUGCUGUAUUUUCUUGUUCUGUGAGUUGAUAACAAGGAGUUUUUAAUCUCAGCUCUGAGAGUUGGAAAUGGGAAUUGGAAGUCACUUCACUACCCACCUCUUGGGAACUGAUUCCACAAGUUUAUAUCGAUAAUCCCGAGUAGCCUUCAUGACCAGUUUUCCCUCUGAACAUUGAAAUGUAGAGAAAAUGACAGGAGAAGUUAGAAUAGCAACUCCCUUAGAUCAUUGAACAAAGCAUAUGAAUGUUACUCUUCUCACAUUGUUAGCAUUUCUGUAUGUUAACCUAUAUAUCUACCCAUCAAGCUGCCCUUUUUUUAAAUAAAUGUCAAGUUUAAAU